GGGGUUGUGGCUAAGUGGUAAGUGCUUGCCUAGCAGGUGCAAGGACCUGGGUUCAAUCCUCAGCACCACA
Molecule: transfer RNA, 70 nt
Filed under: Marmota monax (woodchuck)
Lineage: Eukaryota; Metazoa; Chordata; Mammalia; Rodentia; Sciuridae
Description: tRNA.Ala
Source: RNAcentral